RNAcentral lists this ribosomal RNA (317 nucleotides) under uncultured bacterium. RNAcentral's name for it is "bacterial SSU rRNA". It matches the Rfam family "Bacterial small subunit ribosomal RNA", at positions 29 to 326 of the family's 1533-position model. The record is from RNAcentral.
AGCGAACGCUGGCGGCGUACUUAACACAUGCAAGUCGAACGAGGAUCGCUACGUGAGCAAUCAUGCGGCGGUUCUAGUGGCGUACGGGUGAGUAACACGUGGGCAACCUGCCCUGGAGCCUGGGAUACCCUCUCGAAAGGGAGGCUAAUACCGGAUACGUUCCCCGGGUCGCGAGAUCGUGGGGAGGAAAGGUGGCGCAAGCUGCCGCUCUUGGAGGGGCUCGCGGCCUANCAGCUAGUUGGUGAGGUAAUGGCUCACCAAGGCUAUGACGGGUAGCUGGUCUGAGAGGACGACCAGCCACGACGGGGACUGAGACA